RNAcentral lists this ribosomal RNA (580 nucleotides) under uncultured bacterium. RNAcentral's name for it is "bacterial SSU rRNA". It matches the Rfam family "Bacterial small subunit ribosomal RNA", at positions 226 to 822 of the family's 1533-position model. The record is from RNAcentral.
UGGUCUCGCGUCCAAUUAGCUAGUUGGUGAGGUAACGGCCCACCAAGGCGACGAUUGGUAGCCGGACUGAGAGGUUGAACGGCCACAUUGGGACUGAGACACGGCCCAGACUCCUACGGGAGGCAGCAGUGGGGGAUAUUGCACAAUGGGGGAAACCCUGAUGCAGCGACGCCGCGUGGAGGAAGAAGGUUUUCGGAUUGUAAACUCCUGUCGUUAGGGACGAUAAUGACGGUACCUAACAAGAAAGCACCGGCUAACUACGUGCCAGCAGCCGCGGUAAAACGUAGAGUGCAAGCGUUGUCCGGAAUUACUGGGUGUAAAGGGAGCGCAGGCGGGAAGACAAGUUGGAAGUGAAAACCAUGGGCUCAACCCAUGAAUUGCUUUCAAAACUGUUUUUCUUGAGUAGUGCAGAGGUAGAUGGAAUUCCCGGUGUAGCGGUGGAAUGCGUAGAUAUUAGGAGGAACACCAGUGGCGAAAGGCGGCUUUCUGGACUGUAACUGACGUUGAGGCACGAAAGUGUGGGGAGCAAACAGGAUUAGAUACCCUGGUAGUCCACACCGUAAACGAUGGAUACUAGGUG